CUCCAGACUCCUACGGGAGGCAGCAGUGGGGAAUAUUGCACAAUGGGGGAAACCCUGAUGCAGCGACGCCGCGUGAGUGAAGAAGUAUUUCGGUAUGUAAAGCUCUAUCAGCAGGGAAGAAAAUGACGGUACCUGACUAAGAAGCCCCGGCUAACUACGUGCCAGCAGCCGCGGUAAUACGUAGGGGGCAAGCGUUAUCCGGAUUUACUGGGUGUAAAGGGAGCGUAGACGGCAGAGCAAGUCUGAAGUGAAAGCCCGCGGCCCAACUGCGGGACUGCUUUGGAAACUGCCCGGCUAGAGUGCUGGAGAGAUAAGCGGAAUUCCUAGUGUAGCGGUGAAAUGCGUAGAUAUUAGGAGGAACACCAGUGGCGAAGGCGGCUUACUGGACAGUAACUGACGUUGAGGCUCGAAAGCGUGGGGAGCAAACAG
Molecule: ribosomal RNA, 429 nt
Filed under: uncultured bacterium
Lineage: Bacteria
Description: bacterial SSU rRNA
Rfam family: Bacterial small subunit ribosomal RNA
Source: RNAcentral